AGGGUGCUUAGAGCCACAGCGACGUGAGAUUGCGGCUUCAUCUGGGAGGAAAGUGAGUCUCAUUAUCCUCAGGCUCAGAAAAUCACUAAAGUUCAGCACUUGAAUGAGAGCCCCAAACCUCGUUCUCUUCCCAGGGCACUGGGUCCACGCUGGAGCAUCCCAGAGCUGAUCAAUCCCUCUGGAAGCAGGGACACCCCUGGCUCCAUAGGAUUCCAUUUUGCUGAACUACUGGUUCAGAAACACAAGAGCCUGACAUCUAUGGGAACACAGAGCCAGAAAACCCAGGCACAGACCAGGACAUCUCCGAGGUAUUUCCAGCAGGUAUCUGCUAGACGCGUUCUCUCUGCCAGCCCGCUGACUUGCUAGCUGUGGAGCAACUGCAGUACGUGCCCGUCCCUGUCACCAGGGGCUGGCCAUCAACAGAAGCUGCUCCUUCCAAGCCGGCCACGCGUCUACUACUUCAUCAUCCUCUCGGGGGUGCAUCCACGGCUCUCCCUACAAUGGGAGCUUCCUGAGAGGCACUUUCAUUUCUCUGUGCUUCCUCUGGGCUCACCAGCAAGUGCUAAACUGAAGGAAGAUAGAGUUAAAUUGUUUAGCAAUCAGAGUUUCUAUGACUGUCCAUCAUCACUGCAUCUCUUCUAUGACAUGAGACAUUGGUGCGAUGUGUCAUUAUGUUCAAAUGUGUGGGUCGGCCAGGGUGUAUCUGUAUGGACUGAAUGUGUCCCCAUAAAAUUUGUAUGUUGAAGCCCUAACCCCCAAUAUGAGGAUAUUUGGAGCUGGGGCCUUUGGGAGGUAAUUAAGUUAGAUGAGGUCAGAUGGACAUGGCCCCUGUGGUUGAGAUUAGCCCUAAUACCAAGAGAUAGCAGAGAGCUCCACCCUACUGUUGGCCACGUGCACACAUAGGGAGAAGGGGGCCGUCUAUAAGCAAGGAAGAGAGCCCUCAUCAGAAACCGAUCGCGCCAGCAUGCUGAUCUUGGAUCUGAGGCCUCCAGAACUGAGGGAAAAUAAAUGUCUGCUGUUGAAGUCACCCAGUCCAUAUUGUUUUGUUAUGGCAGCUGGGGUAAGACAGUGUCCUUCUCGGUUUCUACCCUUAACAGGAUAAAAAUCCCUGGAGCAAACCCUCUCCUUCCUCCCAAAGGAGCCAUGGGAAGCCACUCUCUACAAUUUGCAGCAAACACGGAAGCACCAGAAUCCUGCACGUAUGCUCGGAGGAAACGCACAGAGGACAAAUGCAGGGUCGCAGGAUACAAGAAUGGCAAAGGCUGACUCCAGAGAACGUUGUUAAGCUUCAAAUCUAUACUGUGCAUUGGAAGGUAAACAAGCAUCAUCCACACAACUAACUGACUGCAUUCACCAGCACACUCUGAAGUCUUCAACUACUGCUAUUAAUCUAUUUUUCUCAACAUUAUUUUCUUUCCUCAUUCUUGGAUUUCUUUUUAUUUAUGUAUUUAUUUUUUGAGAUGGAGUCUUGCUCUGUCGCCAGGCUGGAGUGCAGUGGCGCGAUCUCAGCUCACUGCAACCUCUGCCUCCCGGGUUCAAGUGAUUCUCCUGCCUCAGCCUCCUGAGUAGCUGGGACUACAGGCACAUGUCACCACGCCCAGCUAAUUUUUGUAUUUUCAGUAGAGACGAGGUUUCACCAUGUUGGCCAGGAUGGUCUCCAUCUCUUGACCUCGUGAUCCACCCACUUCGGCCUCCCAAAGUGCUGGGAUUAUAGGCGUAUGCCACUGCGCCUGGCCUCAUUCUCGGAUUUCUUUAACCUCUCCUUGGAGGGGACACAGAACUGGAUGACAAGGAAGAAACACUCCUGGGAGAUGUGGUUGGGGGCAGGAUAGAGAGAACAAAGGCCAGGGCCAGGCAAGGCUGGGGAAAGGAUGAAGGCUGAGAUUUGGGGGGUGAGGGAGGUGUCCAGAAGAUGAUGAGACGUUCAGGAGAAUGGGAGGGCAGGAAAACAGGGCAAGGUUUGGACGGGUCUCCCCGCUGCCGGGGGUCUGGUACUGCCUGUGCAGCGCAGGCUGGAGGGAAAAUGUAAGCUGCCCAGUGCCGCUGCCCUGCCCACCCCUGCUGCACCUCUGAGUCACUCAGUUCUUCCAAAGGAAAAGCUGGGAAGAAGGAGUUCGGUGUCUGGACUUCUAAUCAGCUUGUUCCUUACAGCACUAUUUACUGAGGGAAAGAUUUUAAAUGUUCAGCUAGGAAAACUGGUGGAAUAUAUUAGGAUACAUCAUGACAAAAAGAUGCAGCCUUUGACACACAACCUCUUAUAGUAUUUUUAACAACAGGCGGAAAGAGCCCUAUGUAACAUGAAGAAAAGUUAGAGACAAAGCCAUAUAUAUGUACGGUCCAGUCAGAUACCAAUUAGAUAAGCAGACUCGACAGAGACUAGAAAGAACACACGAAAAGCAGUAACAGGGACUAUUCUGUACUGGAGAAUUAAGGGCUAUUUUUCUUUUUUUCCAUUUUGGUAAUUUUGCAGGUUCUCUAGAAGCAUAAUUUGUGUUUGUAAUCUUUUUUUUUUUUUUUUUUUUUUGAGACAGUCUCACUCUGCCACCUAGGCCGGAGUGCAGUGGUGCGAUCUCGGCUCAUGGCAACCUCCGCCUCCCGGGUUCAAGUGAUUCCCGUGCUUCAGCCUCCUGAGUAGCUGGGAUUAGAGACACGCGCCACCACGGCCGGCUAAUUUUUGUAUUUUAGUAGAGAUGAGGUUUCACCAUGUUGGCCAGGUUGGUCUCAAACUCCUGACCUCGGGUGAUCUGCCUGCCUUGGCCUGCCAAAGUGCUGGGAUUACAGGCGUGAGCCACCACGCCUGGCUGUAUCUGUAAUCUUUAGAGGUAUUAAAAAAAAUAUAUCUUCAACUAAAGCUUAGACUGAUAGAAGAGGCAAAAGCAGGGCAAGAGAGAGGUGGCCCGACGCACACAUUUUGGUUGCUGGGGUCUCAUAACAGAACGGAACUUCUGAGGAUUCUGCCCCAUGCCCUGCUCUGGGGAGAGGGGUCCAUCGCCACCCCGCACAGCCGGUGAGUCCCCACACCAGCAGCCCCAGCCCCCACUCGC
This 3044-nucleotide long non-coding RNA is filed under the name Homo sapiens (human). Its description in RNAcentral is "HSALNT0332766". Lineage: Eukaryota; Metazoa; Chordata; Mammalia; Primates; Hominidae. The record is from RNAcentral.